UGUUCUUCUGAACUCGAGGCCGCAAGUGUGUAAUAAAAACCCGCCCAAGAAAUUGUUUUUUUUUGGUCUCUUUGACGUAGUUCGUUUACGAAGGAGGCGAGAGUGUGAAGGUAUAAUGAAAUACCAGUGCUGUUGCUAUUCUGCCAUAGUGGGUUCAGGGUUGCCGUAUACCCAAACUGGAUACAACUGAGGAAGAUGAAUGCCAAACUCGUGUAGCUUAUCAGAUGGCAUUUUGACGGGGGCAAUGUUCAAUUAUUCAAGUCAAACAUUUCCAGAGACUGAAGCACUUAUGUCUUACUAGGCAAAAUUGGAACAUUAUUGGGAGAGCCUAACUUUUCUCUUCUGUCUUAGCUGUUUCAGAGCUCUACCAUGCCCAGAUCAAAAGAGAUUCCUGAAGAAGUGAGGAAAAAGGUUAUUGAGGCCUACCAAUCUGGAAAAGGGUAUAAAACAAUUUCUAAAGAUUUGGGACUUCAAAGAACCACAGUCAGAAAUAUUGUUGUCAAAUGGAAAAGGUUUGGGACCACAAUGAAUCUUCCCAAGAGUGGCCGUCCUGCCAAAAUCACUCUAGGAGUGAUUAAUAAAAUAAUCCAGGAAGUUAAAGAGAACCCCCAUAAAACAUCCAGAGAUCUACAAGCCUCUCUUGCAUUAGACAAAAUCUGUGUUCAUGAUUCUACUAUAAGGAGGACUGUCAGCAAAGAGAGGAUUCUUGGGAGUGAAUUGACACCAAAACCAUCAACAACCAAGAGCAGUAAGGUUUCUGCUGAACAUGCCAAAGAGCCUAGAUAAUCGGUGCAAUGUAGGAAUAAUGUGUACCACAUGGCCCAGCUUGUGUGUAUGUGUGUAGGUUUUUUGUACUAAUCUUCUGGCUAAUGUAAAGAUUUUUAGUACUCAUGCCUAAUUACAGGCUUGUCAUUUUGCUGUGCUAUGGUUGUACUUUGUGUAUAAUUUCAAUGAACCAUCUAAUAAACAUUAGGAACUGUAUUCAUUUUUGUUUUACAAAGGAAGGCCAUAAUGGCAACUGCAAUAGUAAAAUCGAUUUUGAUUUUUUUUUUUCUUUCUGAUUUUUGACAUAGAAAUGUGUUUAAUAAAACUCUGGGUAGAUUUCUGCCAGCUGUUCA
Polypterus senegalus (gray bichir) is the source of this 1118-nucleotide long non-coding RNA. RefSeq lists it as uncharacterized. The transcript is spliced from 6 exons. The record is from RefSeq and is a predicted model, not a curated record. Lineage: Eukaryota; Metazoa; Chordata; Cladistia; Polypteriformes; Polypteridae.